UUUAGGAACAUCUUAUCUAAAUAAAUCUAAUGUGGAAUUUUCACAUUAGACUAUGUGACAAGCGACGUGCUUUAGUGAUGGUCUAUUGAUUGCGUUCGUGUUCGUGUCCAAUCGUGCACGUUCGUCUUUGGUGCGUUCGAAGUCUCUUUCGCAUGUACACGAGGUUCGUGUAUCACGCCGUCAGGAAGACGUUCGGAUUGAGGCAUAUUUUGUUAUUUCAGGCUCUCUGAAUGUCUCAGGAAGCGUGGUAGCUAGUCACAGGGACAACAGGAACUCAACAGCAAUUCAAUACAGACAAAAUGCAAAUAAAAUCAGGGUCUCAAAAAAACCCAGAAUGGUUGAAAAUACUAAUAUGAUGCCUGGUGAAAAAGCAGCAGCAGAAAUCCUAUGUGUCAGCUUGAAAAGGAAAAAGUUACUGACCCCUUCUACAUCACACUAUUUAUGUAUUAUGUACCCAGAGGGAACAGAAAGCACAGAAAAUGGCAUUACUUCCAGUACCACCAAAACAAACCGUGCAUGUGUACUUGCCAAUCUUCUUGAGUGUAUCCAAGUUGUCUGCUGGCACCAGUACUUUAGAGUUCUACCUGUUGACUCACAGCCACAAUUUCUCCAUCCCUGUCUUUGUUAACCUUCUCCAUCAGUUUUUCAACAGAGUCCACAAGGAUCACCAUGUCUUUGGCAUACAGCAACUCCCAAGGACAACCAGCACAGAAUUCCUCUGGUGAAUUAAUUAAAAGCUUUUGAGGCUAAAACAAAGUGUUCUAGGUAUGCUGGUGCAAAGCCUCUCAAGGGUACUGGUGAAUGGAAAGAAGGGACAAGUUGUGGAAACAGAUGAAAAGAAACCAGAAGUAAAGGUGGAUUUUCCUGAUAUAGCCAAGACCAUCACAGUGUCUCCAUACGCAUUCACAAGAAACAGUAAGCAGAUGAAGAAAAACACUGCUACAAGAUGCCAGAUACCUCUGUGCCAUUCAUAAAAGUCAAGGGAUGACUUUGAAGAGUGCAGUUGUUGAUACCAAGUGUGUCUUUAAUGGGCAGGUCAGUGUGACAAUAGGACGGGUGCAGCAUCCUGAACAUUUGCAGUUUAUGAAUUUCAACCCCCAGAAUUCAGUGUAAGGAGGUAGUUUUAUACAUUGUAAGAUACCAAUUUAACUUGCUGAUGAUGUACAUAUAAUAUGAAGUGACAAUAUUAUAAUAUUUUACAUACAAACAGUAUCAUCAUAUUUUAUGCCGAUGUACGCAUAGCUAGUACAACAGCUAAAAAUUGGGUAAUAAAAACAUCAGUUACAUCAUUACAAGAGAGAAUCAAAAAUUAUAAACUUAGAACUCAGAAACAAUUAAAAAAUUUUAGUUAAAUGUUGACAAUAUUUGGGUGUCCACAAUUACAUAUGUCUACUUCACAUUAUGUAGUGUACUGCAUGUAGUAUGUUAAUUUUGAUAGCUCUCAUCAAAUACUGAUAACAAGUAUGGUGAAUAAUAUAUGGCACCUUUUUCUUUUAUUUUUGAUCAUUUUAUACAAAGGGUAUAGUUGAAAAUAACAUUGUCACAUUUGAUAACUGACAGCAAAGUACUUAACCCACAUAUAUGUCGUUUAUACAUAUAUGGUUAUGAACUGGCAAUUUGAUCAUUAGUGUACCUUAUAUUUUGUUAAAAGUUAGACACAUAGAUUAGCUGGAUGUAGGUACCUGCAUGAACAUUUCCAACUAAACUGCGUUAUGAUUACUUAGCUCCCCUGUGAAAUUAUAAUUAAGUAAAUCAGUCUUGAUAUUAUGAGAGUCAUCACAAAUAAUGCUGAUGCAUCUGGGUCAGAAGUUGACUGUCAGAUUGAGAUAGACAGGGCAGGAAUUAAGUGCUAAUUUAUAAAUGCAAAGUCACACCAUAAUUGUUUUUUAAAACAUAAAGUGAUUAUCUCGAGUGCAGACUCAUUGCCAGUAAACAUUUGAUUAUCUUCUUCACAGUAUAGGAGUAUGUACUCUACCAAUAUUCAGUUUUAUCUUUAAUGUAACCUAGCUAUUUAAUACUAAUAACAUUAAGUACACAAUAUACUCAGGGUUUCCCCUAGGCUUUUUAUUUUGAGAGUCAUGAUGACUCCCAAAGCUUUUUAAUGGGAAUCAAAUGAAAAAAAAAAGAGUCAAGUCAGUAAACAGAUUUUUAUUCAUUUAUAUGCUAGAUCACUACACAGCUUGUACAAUUUAAGGUGCUUAUUUAUUCUUCCCUUUUCCUGAAAUAGUAACACUGCUUUUCCAAAAUUGAAGUCUGCUACAGGAGGACCCUGAAGUCUUAUGAAAGACGGUCUGUUUAAUUUCUCAUUUGACAAAGUUUCUAACAGGAUUUUUUAUAGUAUUUUGAAUGCUGAAGCCUCGAUCAGAGGAGACUGGAAUAACACUUGCAAUCAAAGCUAACUUGACAAAGUCAGGAUUUGUCCUUGUUCUCUCUAAUCAGAUUCUUACAAAAGUUCUCAAAUUUUAAGGCCUUUUUAAAUGAUUUCGCAUAAUUUUUGAACACAAGAAAUUGACUUCUGAGAUUUUCUGCAUCAACAAUGUUACUAUAGAGUUCUAUAAGCUUCUCAAGUUGCUUAUUUCCAUAUUCUGCAAUAUUGACAACAUCAGGGUAUUUGUUUGGGUUUAGCACAAUGUCACUCUAGUAUAUUUAGAUCAUUUUCAGGAAACCUUUGUGAUAUUAUUUUUCAAAGAGUCUAAAUAAUUAUUUCUUACUGCCACAAACCUUUGCCUUACAGAUUGAUUGUCAGUCAAUUCAACUCCAGUAUACAUUGCUUUUUCUCCAGGUGGAGGGUCACCAAGAGUUUGUAGGAUAGUGUUAACUUUGUGAGAUCCUUGUCUGAAACUUUCCAAAGUAUAGCCAAAUUAAGUAUAGCCAAAGUUGAGUCAACUG
Molecule: long non-coding RNA, 2889 nt
Organism: Lingula anatina
Lineage: Eukaryota; Metazoa; Brachiopoda; Lingulata; Lingulida; Lingulidae
Source: RefSeq, a predicted model, not a curated record